Molecule: transfer RNA, 74 nt
Filed under: Seleniivibrio woodruffii
Lineage: Bacteria; Pseudomonadati; Deferribacterota; Deferribacteres; Deferribacterales; Geovibrionaceae
Also listed under: 1 other name
Rfam family: tRNA
About the family: Transfer RNA (tRNA) molecules are approximately 80 nucleotides in length. Their secondary structure includes four short double-helical elements and three loops (D, anti-codon, and T loops).
Source: Rfam by way of RNAcentral
GCGCCUGUAGCUCAACUGGAUAGAGCAUUUGACUACGGAUCAAAAGGUUAGGAGUUCGAAUCUCUUCAGGCGCG